This 253-nucleotide ribosomal RNA is filed under the name uncultured bacterium. RNAcentral's name for it is "partial 16S ribosomal RNA". It matches the Rfam family "Bacterial small subunit ribosomal RNA", at positions 524 to 776 of the family's 1533-position model. The record is from RNAcentral.
UACGGAGGAUGCAAGCGUUAUCCGGAAUGAUUGGGCGUAAAGCGUCCGCAGGUGGCUGUGUAAGUCUGCUGUCAAAGAGCGAAGCUCAACUUCGUAAAGGCAGUGGAAACUACACGGCUAGAGUGCGUUCGGGGCAGAGGGAGUUCCUGGUGUAGCGGUGAAAUGCGUAGAGAUCAGGAAGAACACCGGUGGCGAAGGCGCUCUGCUAGGCCGCAACUGACACUGAGGGACGAAAGCUAGGGGAGCGAAUGGG